UUGACCUCGGAUCAGGUAGGAAUACCCGCUGAACUUAAGCAUAUCAAUAAGCGGAGGAAAAGAAACCAACAGGGAUUGCCCUAGUAACGGCGAGUGAAGCGGCAACAGCUCAAAUUUGAAAUCUGGCGCUUGCGUCCGAGUUGUAAUUUGUAGAGGAUGCUUUUGGCGCGGUGCCUUCCGAGUUCCCUGGAACGGGACGCCMUAGAGGGUGAGAGCCCCSUACGGUUGGACACCAAGCCUCUGUAAAGCUCCUUCGACGAGUCGAGUAGUUUGGGAAUGCUGCUCUAAAUGGGAGGUAAAUUUCUUCUAAAGCUAAAUACCGGCCAGAGACCGAUAGCGCACAAGUAGAGUGAUCGAAAGAUGAAAARCACUUUGAAAAGAGGGUUAAAUAGCACGUGAAAUUGUUAAAAGGGAAGGGUUUAUGACCAGACUUGUACCUGGCGGAUCAUCCGGUGUUCUCACCGGUGCACUUCGUCUUGUUCAGGCCAGCAUCGGUUUCCGUAGGGGGAUAAAGGCUUCGGGAAUGUAGCUCCCCUCGGGGAGUGUUAUAGCCCGUUGCGUAAUACCCUUCCGGGGACCGAGGUUCGCGCUCUGCAAGGAU
This 601-nucleotide ribosomal RNA is filed under the name Leptosillia macrospora. RNAcentral's name for it is "partial 28S ribosomal RNA". It matches the Rfam family "Eukaryotic large subunit ribosomal RNA", at positions 1 to 611 of the family's 3401-position model. The record is from RNAcentral. Lineage: Eukaryota; Fungi; Ascomycota; Sordariomycetes; Xylariales; Leptosilliaceae.